Molecule: ribosomal RNA, 238 nt
Filed under: Methanococcus voltae
Lineage: Archaea; Methanobacteriati; Methanobacteriota; Methanococci; Methanococcales; Methanococcaceae
Description: partial 23S ribosomal RNA
Rfam family: Archaeal large subunit ribosomal RNA
Source: RNAcentral
GCGAUUGAAACGGAUCAGGGCAAACUNAAUCCUUCGGGGAGAUGUGUUGUUAUAGGGCCUUUGUUCAAUGAUUUGAUAAGAACUGAAGUNGACUGGAACGUCAUACCAUAGAGGGUGAAAGUCCCGUAAGUNAAUUUGAUAUGAUUUAUAAGGUUCCUGAGUACCGUGCGUUGGAUAUCGCGCGGNAAAUUGGGAGGCAUCGACUUCCAACCCNNAAUACGUUCCNAGACCGAUAGCG